RNAcentral lists this ribosomal RNA (252 nucleotides) under uncultured bacterium. RNAcentral describes it as "partial 16S ribosomal RNA". It matches the Rfam family "Bacterial small subunit ribosomal RNA", at positions 524 to 776 of the family's 1533-position model. The record is from RNAcentral.
UACGAAGGGGGCUAGCGUUGCUCGGAAUGACUGGGCGUAAAGGGCGCGUAGGCGGUUUGGACAGUCAGAUGUGAAAUUCCUGGGCUCAACCUGGGGGCUGCAUUUGAUACGUUCGGACUAGAGUGGGGAAGAGGGUCGUGGAUUCCCAGUGUAGAGGUGAAAUUCGUAGAUAUUGGGAAGAACACCGGUGGCGAAGGCGGCGACCUGGUCCUUGACUGACGCUGAGGCGCGAAAGCGUGGGGAGCAAACAGG